This 73-nucleotide transfer RNA is filed under the name Terriglobia bacterium. RNAcentral describes it as "tRNA-Lys". It matches the Rfam family "tRNA". From Rfam's summary of the family: Transfer RNA (tRNA) molecules are approximately 80 nucleotides in length. Their secondary structure includes four short double-helical elements and three loops (D, anti-codon, and T loops). Lineage: Bacteria; Pseudomonadati; Acidobacteriota; Terriglobia. The record is from RNAcentral.
GGGCCGCUAGCUCAAUUGGCAGAGCAACUGACUCUUAAUCAGUAGGUUCGGGGUUCGAUUCCCCGGCGGCUCA